RNAcentral lists this ribosomal RNA (446 nucleotides) under uncultured bacterium. RNAcentral's name for it is "SSU rRNA". It matches the Rfam family "Bacterial small subunit ribosomal RNA", at positions 26 to 518 of the family's 1533-position model. The record is from RNAcentral.
AGAGCGAACGCUGGCGGCAGGCUUAACACAUGCAAGUCGAGCGGGCGUAGCAAUACGUCAGCGGCAGACGGGUGAGUAACGCGUGGGAACGUACCUUUUGGUUCGGAACAACACAGGGAAACUUGUGCUAAUACCGGAUAAGCCCUUACGGGGAAAGAUUUAUCGCCGAAAGAUCGGCCCGCGUCUGAUUAGCUAGUUGGUGAGGUAAUGGCUCACCAAGGCGACGAUCAGUAGCUGGUCUGAGAGGAUGAUCAGCCACAUUGGGACUGAGACACGGCCCAAACUCCUACGGGAGGCAGCAGUGGGGAAUAUUGGACAAUGGGCGCAAGCCUGAUCCAGCCAUGCCGCGUGAGUGAUGAAGGCCCUAGGGUUGUAAAGCUCUUUGUGCGGGAAGAUAAUGACGGUACCGCAAGAAUAAGCCCGGCUAACUUCGUGCCAGCAGCCGC